UACAGAGGUCACAAGCGUUGUUCGGAUUCAUUGGGCGUAAAGGGUGCGUAGGUGGCGCCGUAAGUCGGGUGUGAAAUUUCGGAGCUUAACUCCGAAACUGCAUUCGAUACUGCGGUGCUUGAGGACUGGAGAGGAGACUGGAAUUCAUGGUGUAGCAGUGAAAUGCGUAGAGAUCAUGAGGAAGACCAGUGGCGAAGGCGGGUCUCUGGACAGUUCCUGACACUGAGGCACGAAGGCCAGGGGAGCAAACGGG
Molecule: ribosomal RNA, 253 nt
Filed under: uncultured bacterium
Lineage: Bacteria
Description: partial 16S ribosomal RNA
Rfam family: Bacterial small subunit ribosomal RNA
Source: RNAcentral